Molecule: ribosomal RNA, 450 nt
Filed under: uncultured bacterium
Lineage: Bacteria
Description: partial 16S ribosomal RNA
Rfam family: Bacterial small subunit ribosomal RNA
Source: RNAcentral
GUGGGGAAUAUUGGACAAUGGGCGAAAGCCUGAUCCAGCCAUGCCGCGUGUGUGAAGAAGGUCUUCGGAUUGUAAAGCACUUUAAGUUGGGAGGAAGGGCAGUAAGUUAAUACCUUGCUGUUUUGACGUUACCGACAGAAUAAGCACCGGCUAACUUCGUGCCAGCAGCCGCGGUAAUAUGAAGGGUGCAAGCGUUAAUCGGAAUUACUGGGCGUAAAGCGCGCGUAGGUGGUUCGUUAAGUUGGAUGUGAAAGCCACGGGCUCAACCUGGGAACUGCAUCCAAAACUGGCGAGCUAGAGUACGGUAGAGGGUGGUGGAAUUUCCUGUGUAGCGGUGAAAUGCGUAGAUAUAGGAAGGAACACCAGUGGCGAAGGCGACCACCUGGACUGAUACUGACACUGAGGUGCGAAAGCGUGGGGAGCAAACAGGAUUAGAAACCCCUGUAGUCC